CGGGAAACUGGGAAUAAUGCCUUAUAAGAUACGUUUGUCGCAUGGCAUUUGUAUUAAACGCUCCGGCGCCAUAGGAUGGACCCGCGUCCCAUUAGCUAGUUGGUGAGAUAACAGCUCACCAAGGCCACGAUGGGUAACCGGUCUGAGAGGGCGAACGGUCACACUGGAACUGAGACACGGUCCAGACUCCUACGGGAGGCAGCAGUGGGGAAUAUUGCGCAAUGGGGGCAACCCUGACGCAGCAAUACCGCGUGAGUGAAGAAGGUUUUCGGAUCGUAAAGCUCUGUUAUUGGGGAAGAAAAAAAGACGGUACCCAAGAAGAAAGUUCCGGCUAACUACGUGCCAGCAGCCGCGGUAAUACGUAGGGAACAAGCGUUGUCCGGAUUUACUGGGCGUAAAGGGCACGCAGGCGGUUUUUUAAGUCAGAUGUGAAAGGCCACAGCUCAACUGUGGACAUGCAUUUGAAACUGAAAGACUUGAGUAUUGGAGAGGCAAGUGGAAUUCCUAGUGUAGCGGUGAAAUGCGUAGAUAUUAGGAGGAACACCGGUGGCGAAGGCAGCUUGCUGGACAAAUACUGACG
RNAcentral lists this ribosomal RNA (580 nucleotides) under uncultured bacterium. RNAcentral's name for it is "bacterial SSU rRNA". It matches the Rfam family "Bacterial small subunit ribosomal RNA", at positions 150 to 745 of the family's 1533-position model. The record is from RNAcentral.